This 412-nucleotide long non-coding RNA is filed under the name Elaeis guineensis (African oil palm). RNAcentral's name for it is "long non-coding RNA (EGUI_LNC052073)". Lineage: Eukaryota; Viridiplantae; Streptophyta; Magnoliopsida; Arecales; Arecaceae. The record is from RNAcentral.
GAAUACUAGUUCGUGAUUUCACCCUUUUGAUGGCAGAUGUUGAUCGAACUCCUUCGAUCAAUGUGUGCUGACUUCUCGGAUGCUUCAAAUCAUUUGCACAAUUGCUUGAGAGGCUGAUGGAUCUCUCCCUGAAAUUUGGUGGACUCACGACACUCGUGGCACACCAAUCUCACUUCCCGAACCCUAGGUAGAAACCCUAGGGUACACACCAAAAACCCUACGCCCAAUUUUCUCUCUUUUCUUUCUUUUUCUCUCAGAAGGUUUUGGACCUUCACCAUGCGCACAAACUUUCCCCACACCCCACUUUCUUUCUCUUAAUUUUUUUGUGCACGCUCCACCUUUCUGUCAUUUUUAAAACAACAUCGAACGUGUCUUAUCCGCAUGAGAGGAUAAAGACAAGUGGUUACACAUU